UUUCUUCAUCUGAUGAAUACAUGUUAUCAGAAUAUGUUUUUUUUCUAGAACAAAGAAAAGAGAACAACAUACACGUCAUUGCCGCUUGUGUGAUGUAGCAAAUACUCUUAUAAAUGGACAAUUCAUGGUAAGCUAUUUAUUUCUCCUAGAGACCUGCAAAAGUCAAACUGCUACAUUUGAAACAUGAAGGUAAAUGAUGACAGUUUUCAUUUGUUAAACCGUUUCUCUGGAGAGCACUUACUUAUGAACCCUUUUCCCAAGAAGUUCAGGCUCUGAAUUGAUGUCAGAUGUGUAGCUGGCCUUCUUCCAGUUCUUGGCAACAUUGUCAAAAGAUGCUGAUACAUGAGAUGUAAUAUGGUUAUUUUAUGUGAAAAAAAAACAUGAAAACAUGUACCAUUUAAUUUUGUUGUUUAACAAUUGGCAAAAUCAUGUUUAAUUUACAGUAUAAAAUUUUCUCCUCUUACCAGACUCAUGAAGAAUUCUUGUUUUGUGUCGGGUCCACCCUUUCUCUGGCUGUGGUUCCACCAUUACUUUAACACACUUCAGCAACUUGUCAGUGUCCUUAUAUGGUGGCCACCAGGAGUAGCCAUCCGAAUACCAGGACUUUGCAGCUGGUCCAGUCGUCCCUUCUCCCUCAAACUCCACGAUUAGAAAUUGACUGCUGUGGAGAGGUUGUCAACUACGUAGAUGCCAAGUGUAGAGGAUGGUAGGGGAUAGUCAAAAAAAGACUCCUGGUGGUUGAAUGUACUGUAGGCAACAAAUUUCAUCCCUGAAUGAAAUGAUGUUCUUCAGUUUAGCAGCUUUACCACUGAUGUAAACGAGACUGUUUACCUGAUCCAGCUUGAAAGUGUAAGGGCUUGUUCUUAAUUCUUUGUAUUGUGCUGCUUCAUGAAAAUUUGCAGGGAUAGGACCAGUUGCAUGCUGUUUUCUCAACAUGUAUGGUCUGGUUUUGUGAGUUUUUUUGCAGCAACUUUGCAUUUCAGAGAAUCUUCUGACUAUUUGACUCAGGGGGCACGUUGGUUUCCUCAGAAGUCUUUUCAGUUUGUACAGGUGAUUCUCGUAUUUGAAAGCGCUGAAUUUGACCAGGACGCCAUGCUGUUUUGCCUCGUCUGCAAGGUGUACAAGGCAGUGUGCAUUGUAGGACAGGAAUUUUGGACCAUACAGUUGACCAAAGUGGAUGACAAAUAGAACCAGUAUGUCAUUGGCGUAAUCACAGUAAUGUUCUAUUAAACUGUUGUUGCACAGGAUGAAAAUUCCCACAAAAAGCAACAUGAAGUUUUUGUACACUUCUGUGCUGAGGAGAUCUUUUAACAUGACAGGUCCGGUAUACAGUAAAAACUGCCUGAACUCUGUUGCCUUCCACCUAUCAAUUUCCCUCAGUGUCCUUGGUUUCCUUGCAAACUCCAUGGGCACAUUUCUCUGAGCAUUCACCAACCUUUCUGUUAAGGUGUUUAUUUGAAAUCCUGACAGUCUACAAGUAAGAGGACCUAACCUUAACCACAAGUGGAGAAGCCGUCUCAUGAUUCCAAGACAUACAAGGUGCAUGUAAUCGAGGGGGAACCCAGAGACCAUAUCUAGAGAAGUUUGUUCCAGAGGUACAUGCCUUCCUGUGUGCAUUUUUCACAUCCGUGAUAGCCUGUGUGUCCUUUAACAUUUUUAAGGAAUGCACGGGCAGGUGCGUCACAAACCAUGCAAGAGAGCUGUAAAAACAACUUCACUCCUUCAAAUUCAAAUCCCUUAGCAAGUUCAUUGACUUCAGAGAUGAAGUCUUCAAGAUACUCAUCCAAUGAGGUGGGUUUACAGGUGCCACAAAAUAAACCUAUUGUCACAGGUUCUUUGUGAGGUAGAUUUUGCACUGUACCUAGAAUGGGCCAGAACUGUUUUGCUGAACUUUUGAAGAGAGGCAAACCAUCAAUGUUGACCUGAAGCUCCAACUUGUUGAUGUUGCUCAAAAUGUAGAUGUUCUGGUGUAGCACUUCUGUGAUUGACUUCAGCACACCAUAAUGGUAAUAUUUGCCACUAGCCUUGUCCUGUAGUUCUGUGGAACGUACAGUUCCUAACAAUGUCCUAGAGUCUUUUGGCAGAGUUGAAUUGUGUUCGCGUAGUAUGUGAAGUAGAGAAUACAAUGCCACAUGUGUGAUUUUGUGUUCAGUAGCCCAGGUUGCCAAAUCAUCUUCCAGGGAAGUUGAAUCAGAUUCAGAUUCUGAAUCUGUGUCUGAUUAGCUGUCGUCAAGAACACUUGCCAUGUACUCGGUUUCGUCAAUUUGAGAGAGACAGUCCAUAAAUACAUCAUCAUCGUCAUUUUGACAGGUGCUGCUGCCAGACUCCUCUGCUAUUGGUGUUGCUUCUAUUGACUGCAGUUGUUUUUCCACUUUAUCUUUUGCCCUUCUCCUUAGUGUCCAGUAAAAUGGUUUAUUGCACGCCAUACUAUUAUGAUAUUAACACAAAUACAUUGUUGUUGUUUUUGUUUUAUUACUGACCUACCAAUGAUUGUAUAGUUACACAAAUGAUCAUCAUACCUUUGGUGGGUGGAUUGGUGGCUGUGGAUAACCUUCUGCAGUCAGACAGUGCUGAAAUGUAUAAAAUGUAUAUUAAUUUGUAUAAUGUAUAUCAUUUUCCAUUAGGUUUUUAUUUUACUGAAUUUUUUUUGAGAGAGAGAAUUAUGUACAUAUCGGUAUUGAUGAUGUAAAUCAAAGAUUCUUAUUAAUGUCACUUAAUCUUAUUAAAAUUGAAAGAAAAUGAUAACUGAGCAAGGUGCUUGUGCUAACACGUAUAAAUAAAUUAAAUAUCUUUUUCUAGCAUGUUCAUUGGUUAAGUUGUUAAAAACUAAUGGGGAAUGGCGUCAUUGUGAUACGGUCUGUUCGACAUGUGGCGCUGCACAAACCGAUCGGCCUGUGGCGUCACAGUACCGCGAGAGCAAUUUCAGAGGCGCGGGCAGGCUGCUUUGGAAUCGCUCUCGCGAUACUAUGAUGUCAUAUCCUGAUCAGUCUGCGCAAGGUUUCAAGAAGUCUAAACACCACGACGUACCUUGUGAUUUUCCGUACGGAUACACGCA
Molecule: long non-coding RNA, 3055 nt
Organism: Triplophysa rosa
Lineage: Eukaryota; Metazoa; Chordata; Actinopteri; Cypriniformes; Nemacheilidae
Exons: 3
Source: RefSeq, a predicted model, not a curated record